Molecule: ribosomal RNA, 2133 nt
Filed under: Neoechinorhynchus bullocki
Lineage: Eukaryota; Metazoa; Acanthocephala; Eoacanthocephala; Neoechinorhynchida; Neoechinorhynchidae
Description: partial 28S ribosomal RNA
Rfam family: Eukaryotic large subunit ribosomal RNA
Source: RNAcentral
GAACUAUGCCUGAGUAGGAUGAAGCCGGAGGAAACUCUGGUGGAGGUCCGAAGCGUUUUUGACGUGCAAAUCAAUCGUCAGACUUGGGUAUAGGGGCGAAAGACUAAUCGAACCAUCUAGUAGCUGGUUCCCUUCGAAGUUUCCCCCAGGAAAGCUGGUGCCAUGUUUGACAGUUUUAUCUGGUAAAGCGAAUGAUUAGAGGCAUUGGGGACGAAUUGUUCUCGACCUAUUCUCAAACUUUAAAUGGGUAAUGUACCGUUGUACUUCUUGAUAUUCUUGAGUUCUCGGUCAAAUGCAAUGGCGCCAAGUGGGCCAUUUUUGGUAAGCAGAACUGGCGAUGUGGGAUGAACCAAACGUUGAGCUAGGAUGCCCAAAGUGCUUCUCAUGAGAUACCAUGAAAGGUGUCAGUCGAUAUUGACAGCAGGACGGUGGCCGCAGAAGUAGGAAUCCGCUAAGGAGUGUGUAACAACUCACCUGCCGAAUCGACUGGUCCUGAAAAUGGAUGGCGCUGGAGACGUAUAUCCAUGCUCGACCGUCAAUACCAAUUUAAGCGGUUGCUAUAUGGUUUGACGUGUAGAAGGGCGAUUGCCGUGGCGUCGAAACUUGCACCGUGAGGUGGGGUAGAGCUGCGGCAUGUGCAGAUCUUGGUGGUAGUAGCAAGUAUUCAAAUGAGAGCAUUGAAGACUGAAGUGGAGUAAGGUUCCAUGUGAACAUCAUUUGGACAUGGAUCAGCCGAUCCUAAGAGAACGUGUAAGUUCGUGAUUAAGCGCGUCGCCUUGUGCGUCGCAAUCGAAAGGGAAUCGGGUUAAUAUUCCCGAGCCAGGAUACGGAAUGUGUCUGAUUCAUCGAUAAUGCCUCGUGUAUUUUCGACUUCAGACAAGAGCGGCAACGCUAGCAAACCCAGAGAUUAACUAUGCGAAGUCCGGGGAAGAGUUUUCUCUUCUUUGUAAGGAAUGUUAUCCCUGGAAUCAGAUUGUCUGGCGAUAGGGUACGCAUUCCGUAAUGCAACGCGAUUCCUGCGAUGUACCGUGCACUUCGUAUAGUGCUUGAAAAUCUGGGGGCGAGUUUGUUCAGGCCGUACCUGUUCGUACUGAUUUCCGCAGCAGGUCUCCAAGGUGAGCAGCCUCUAGUCGAUGGGACAAAGUAGACAAGGGAAGUCGGCAAAUUAGAUCCGUAACUUCGGAAAAAGGAUUGGCUCUAAAGGCUGAGUUGGUCGGGCGGUUGUGUGAAGCUAGAGGCGAAGCUAUGUCUCUGUCUCAGACUCGGUUCUCGCAAGGGAAACGGGGUCGAGGACGGAGCUUGGUCAACGCCCUUAGUGGACCGCGGUCGCUAUGCCACCCGUGUGUAAUUCUCAACGCAAGUUAAGAACCAUGCGACGUGGAUCCGAUCAGCGUUAAACAGCUGACCUAGAACUGGUAUGGACAAGGGGAAUCCAACUGUUUAAUUAAAACAAAGCAUUGCGAUAGCUGUAAUCGGUGUUGACGCGAUGUGAUUUCUGCCCAGUGCUCUGAAUGUUAAAGUGAAGGAACUCAUCUAAGCGCGAGUUAACGGCGGAAGUAACUAUGACUUUCUUAAGGUAGCCAAAUGCCUCGUCAUCUAAUUAGUGACGUGCAUGAAUGGAUUAUUGAGAUUCCUUCUGUCCCUGUCUGCAACCUAGCGAAACCACAGCCAAGGGAACGGGCUUGGAGAGUAACAGCGGGGAAAGAAGACCCUGUUGAGCUUGACUCUAGUCAGUCUCUGUGAAGAAACAUGAUGGGUGUAGAAUAGGUGGGAGGACGCAAAAGUGAAAUACCACUACCAUCAUCGUUUCUUUACUUACUCAAUUGAUCAGGGAGCGUGAAUUCGCUAUUUGCGAUGUAUGAUUAUUCCUUUAGUGGAAUAAGUGUCUGGUUUGAGAACACAGACUGAUUGGGAGUUUGACUGGGGCGGUACAUCUGUUAAAAUCUAACGCAGGUGUCCUAAGGCAAUCUCAGCGUGGACAGAAACCUCGCAUAGAGCGAAAGGGCAAAAGAUUGCUUGAUCUUGAUUUUCAGUACGAAUAAAGACAAUGAAAGUUUGGCUUGUCGAUCCUUUUGAAUUUUACGAGUUUUAAGCAAGAGGUGUCAGAAAAGUUACCACAGGGCAUAACUGGCU